RNAcentral lists this ribosomal RNA (356 nucleotides) under uncultured bacterium. Its description in RNAcentral is "bacterial SSU rRNA". It matches the Rfam family "Bacterial small subunit ribosomal RNA", at positions 8 to 353 of the family's 1533-position model. The record is from RNAcentral.
AGAGUUUGAUCAUGGCUCAGGACGAACGCUGGCGGCGUGCCUAACACAUGCAAGUCGAGCGAGGAAUGUCGGAUAGCUUGCUAUUUGAUAUUUCUAGCGGCGGACGGGUGAGUAACGCGUGAGCAACCUGCCUUUAUCAGGGGGAUAACGCAUCGAAAGAUGUGCUAAUACCGCGUAAGACCACAGCCUCACAUGGGGCAGAGGUCAAAGGAGCAAUCCGGAUAAAGAUGGGCUCGCGUCCGAUUAGCUAGUUGGUGAGAUAACAGCCCACCAAGGCGACGAUCGGUAGCCGACCUGAGAGGGUGAUCGGCCACAUUGGAACUGAGAGACGGUCCAGACUCCUACGGGAGGCAGCA